AGAGUUUGAUCAUGGCUCAGGAUGAACGCCGGCGGUGUGCCUAAUACAUGCAAGUCGAACGCGUUGGCCCAACUGAUUGAACGUGCUUGCACGGACUUGACGUUGGUUUACCAGCGAGUGGCGGACGGGUGAGUAACACGUAGGUAACCUGCCCCAAAGCGGGGGAUAACAUUUGGAAACAGAUGCUAAUACCGCAUAACAAUUUGAAUCGCAUGAUUCAAAUUUAAAAGAUGGUUUCGGCUAUCACUUUGGGAUGGACCUGCGGCGCAUUAGCUUGUUGGUAGGGUAACGGCCUACCAAGGCUGUGAUGCGUAGCCGAGUUGAGAGACUGAUCGGCCACAAUGGAACUGAGACACGGUCCAUACUCCUACGGGAGGCAGCAGUAGGGAAUCUUCCACAAUGGGCGCAAGCCUGAUGGAGCAACACCGCGUGAGUGAAGAAGGGUUUCGGCUCGUAAAGCUCUGUUGUUAGAGAAGAACGUGCGUGAGAGCAACUGUUCACGCAGUGACGGUAUCUAACCAGAAAGUCACGGCUAACUACGUGCCAGCAGCCGCGGUAAUACGUAGGUGGCAAGCGUUAUCCGGAUUUAUUGGGCGUAAAGCGAGCGCAGGCGGUUCGAUAAGUCUGAUGUGAAAGCCUUUGGCUUAACCAAAGAAGUGCAUCGGAAACUGUCAGACUUGAGUGCAGAAGAGGACAGUGGAACUCCAUGUGUAGCGGUGGAAUGCGUAGAUAUAUGGAAGAACACCAGUGGCGAAGGCGGCUGUCUGGUCUGCAACUGACGCUGAGGCUCGAAAGCAUGGGUAGCGAACAGGAUUAGAUACCCUGGUAGUCCAUGCCGUAAACGAUGAGUGCUAGGUGUUGGAGGGUUUCCGCCCUUCAGUGCCGCAGCU
RNAcentral lists this ribosomal RNA (890 nucleotides) under uncultured bacterium. RNAcentral's name for it is "bacterial SSU rRNA". It matches the Rfam family "Bacterial small subunit ribosomal RNA", at positions 8 to 853 of the family's 1533-position model. The record is from RNAcentral.